Molecule: non-coding RNA, 95 nt
Filed under: Schistosoma japonicum
Lineage: Eukaryota; Metazoa; Platyhelminthes; Trematoda; Strigeidida; Schistosomatidae
Source: RNAcentral
ACCCGUCUGGUUCUGAACAUGAUGAAGAGCGAAGGCAGCUUAAACACAAACUGAUUAAAAGCUUACGCAAUGAUCGUGAGCAGUUGUGGAUGGCG